This 479-nucleotide ribosomal RNA is filed under the name uncultured bacterium. RNAcentral describes it as "bacterial SSU rRNA". It matches the Rfam family "Bacterial small subunit ribosomal RNA", at positions 28 to 507 of the family's 1533-position model. The record is from RNAcentral.
GACGAACGCUGGCGGCGUGCCUAAUACAUGCAAGUCGAGCGGGGAUUAUGCUUGAUCGCUUCGGUGAGACGGCAUAUAUCCUAGCGGCGGACGGGUGAGUAACGCGUGGGUAAUCUACCUCGUAGUUCGGGAUAACAGGCCGAAAGGCUUGCUAAUACCGGAUGAGUUCAUGCUUAUGCAUAUAGGCAUGAAGAAAGGGCUAGCCCGCUAUGAGAUGAGCCCGCGUCCCAUUAGCUUGUUGGUGGGGUAACGGCCUACCAAGGCAACGAUGGGUAGCCGGCCUGAGAGGGUGUACGGCCACACUGGGACUGAGACACGGCCCAGACUCCUACGGGGGGCAGCAGUAGGGAAUUUUCGGCAAUGGGCGAAAGCCUGACCGAGCGACGCCGCGUGAGGGACGAAGGCCUUCGGGUUGUAAACCUCUGUCUGGGGGAUGAGAACGGACGGUACCCCCGGACGGAAGCCCGGCUAACUACGUG